UACGAAGGGUGCUAGCGUUGUUCGGAAUUAUUGGGCGUAAAGAGCGUGUAGGCGGCCAAACAGGUCAGCUGUGAAAACUCGAGGCUCAACCUCGAGACGUCGGUUGAAACCGUUUGGCUAGAGUCCGGAAGAGGAGAGUGGAAUUCCCGGUGUAGCGGUGAAAUGCGCAGAUAUCGGGAAGAACACCCGUGGCGAAGGCGGCUCUCUGGGACGGUACUGACGCUGAGACGCGAAAGCGUGGGGAGCGAACAGG
Molecule: ribosomal RNA, 253 nt
Filed under: uncultured bacterium
Lineage: Bacteria
Description: partial 16S ribosomal RNA
Rfam family: Bacterial small subunit ribosomal RNA
Source: RNAcentral